Molecule: ribosomal RNA, 1375 nt
Filed under: Escherichia coli
Lineage: Bacteria; Pseudomonadati; Pseudomonadota; Gammaproteobacteria; Enterobacterales; Enterobacteriaceae
Description: partial 16S ribosomal RNA
Rfam family: Bacterial small subunit ribosomal RNA
Source: RNAcentral
GGGAGGGGAGCUACACAUGCAAGUCGAACGGUAACAGGAAGCAGCUUGCUGCUUUGCUGACGAGUGGCGGACGGGUGAGUAAUGUCUGGGAAACUGCCUGAUGGAGGGGGAUAACUACUGGAAACGGUAGCUAAUACCGCAUAACGUCGCAAGACCAAAGAGGGGGACCUUCGGGCCUCUUGCCAUCGGAUGUGCCCAGAUGGGAUUAGCUAGUAGGUGGGGUAACGGCUCACCUAGGCGACGAUCCCUAGCUGGUCUGAGAGGAUGACCAGCCACACUGGAACUGAGACACGGUCCAGACUCCUACGGGAGGCAGCAGUGGGGAAUAUUGCACAAUGGGCGCAAGCCUGAUGCAGCCAUGCCGCGUGUAUGAAGAAGGCCUUCGGGUUGUAAAGUACUUUCAGCGGGGAGGAAGGGAGUAAAGUUAAUACCUUUGCUCAUUGACGUUACCCGCAGAAGAAGCACCGGCUAACUCCGUGCCAGCAGCCGCGGUAAUACGGAGGGUGCAAGCGUUAAUCGGAAUUACUGGGCGUAAAGCGCACGCAGGCGGUUUGUUAAGUCAGAUGUGAAAUCCCCGGGCUCAACCUGGGAACUGCAUCUGAUACUGGCAAGCUUGAGUCUCGUAGAGGGGGGUAGAAUUCCAGGUGUAGCGGUGAAAUGCGUAGAGAUCUGGAGGAAUACCGGUGGCGAAGGCGGCCCCCUGGACGAAGACUGACGCUCAGGUGCGAAAGCGUGGGGAGCAAACAGGAUUAGAUACCCUGGUAGUCCACGCCGUAAACGAUGUCGACUUGGAGGUUGUGCCCUUGAGGCGUGGCUUCCGGAGCUAACGCGUUAAGUCGACCGCCUGGGGAGUACGGCCGCAAGGUUAAAACUCAAAUGAAUUGACGGGGGCCCGCACAAGCGGUGGAGCAUGUGGUUUAAUUCGAUGCAACGCGAAGAACCUUACCUGGUCUUGACAUCCACGGAAGUUUUCAGAGAUGAGAAUGUGCCUUCGGGAACCGUGAGACAGGUGCUGCAUGGCUGUCGUCAGCUCGUGUUGUGAAAUGUUGGGUUAAGUCCCGCAACGAGCGCAACCCUUAUCCUUUGUUGCCAGCGGUCCGGCCGGGAACUCAAGGAAACUGCCGUGAUAAACUGGAGAGAAAGGGGGGGAAGAACUCAAGUCAUCAUGGGCCCUUACAACAGGGCUACCCCGUGCUAAAUGGGCCAAACAAAAAAAACGACCUUCCCCAAACAACGGACCCCAAAAGGGGCCCAAACCCGGAAUGGAGUUGCACUCCCCCCUGAAUCGAACCCUUAAACUGGAAAAAGCCGGAUCCCCCCCCCUUUUUCCCCCCAAACAAAAAAGCGCGCGAAAAAAAAAAAAAAAAAUAAGUAC